Molecule: non-coding RNA, 524 nt
Organism: Cajanus cajan (pigeon pea)
Lineage: Eukaryota; Viridiplantae; Streptophyta; Magnoliopsida; Fabales; Fabaceae
Source: RefSeq, a predicted model, not a curated record
GUGCAAUGGAAUUCCUUGAGGAGCGGGAGGUGAAAGUCUUGAAUGUCAGGAACAAAGAGUCGUGAUUUAAAAUACAACAGCCCAUUGUGGAAGGUUGAAUAAAUGUAGGAACGGGUAAGGAAAUGUGAAAUAAGAUGGGUGGAGCUGGUUCCGGUCGUGACAAUGAAUCAGCCACAAUGUUCUGUUUGCCUGGCCUGUAGAGGAUAUCAAAAUGGUAGCCCAAGAACUUAAUGGCCCAUUUCUACUGCUCUGGUGUGUGCACUGCUUGGCAAACAUUUCGCGCACAUAGACGGACGCAGCUUGGAGUUUUGGGCAAAGGCGCUUGCUGAAAAAGGCUAUGGGAUGACCAUGCUGGGAUAAAACGGCCCCAAUUGCAGUGCCCGAAGCAUCGGUGUUAAUAACGAAAGGAACGGUGAAGUCGGGAAGAGCCAAAACAGGGACUGUUGUAAUUUUAUUUUUUAAGUCUGUGAAUGCUUGUUGGGCUUGAGGACUCCAUUGAAAUGAAGGAGAACGUAACAAAUCGG